UCCUCGCCAGAUUCAGAGGUAGACUGACUCUGAAUUGGGAGGUUCCAUUUAGCUAUCAUAUCGAAUAGCGAGUAUUGAACUCUGCAUUUGUUUAACCCCCUUUAAAGCCACCCAAGCAAGUCAAUUUCUAUCUGCCUGGUGGCUGUCAGAGACAGAAGGCCUCCCCACAAACAACUUUGUAAUCAUAGAGGAUUGCUAGUUUAGGAGGUUUGAGGAGUACUAGCUGAUCUGGCGCAGAGCAUCUGCACCCCUAGUUCUCCCUGACUGUCUCCCCCCACCCCCAUAUCUUCAUUUUGUCUUCAAACCCCGUCCUUUCUCCCCAUCCCAGCCUGCUUUCCCUCACCACCCGCUGCCUGGCCUGGCCUGGCCUGGCCACCGCUUUCCCUCACCGCCCACCCAUCCCCACUGCUAUUCGGCAGCUGCUUGCAAACUCUCAUGAGAGCUGCCAUGCAUGGGAUUAGCGACAGGGAUCACUUGCCCUGAAUCUGAUGUGCUCUGCAGUGGGGCCUCCAGUUUAGCAGAGAAGCAUCCGUUGUUAACCAGAUAGGAGUCAUCAUUUGAAAAGGAACCCCCUUUCCAGCAGAUUUCAUCCUGUCGACCACCAGGAUAUCAUAAGUCCUAGGAAUCUUUGAAUGAGUCAGGCCGGUUGAGAUGGAUGUUGUUGGAAAUGGAGAACCAGGUCCCUGACUGGAAGCGUUCACAAGCUAUAUCUGCAGGAGGAGACUGUAACAGUUCAUAUACCCAGAGCAGCGAGACCUUUGCCAUAAUGGAUGCUGCUGAGGACACCUGGAUAGCCAGAGAGGUCUCAUGCCCCUUCUUUAAAUUAGAUUCAAUCUUUUUCUCAGUCUAGUCCCUGAGAGGGCUAUUGUCACCACAGGGUAGGAUGUAAAGAAAAAAGAAUGUCCAGAAAGUAAAGCAUCUGUGGGAAGUACCUGGAACAUCUCAGAUGCUGUUUGCGUGAGACCAUACAGCUUAUUGACCAGCUGAAUGGGUUUCCUGUGCACUGCUGGCACUUGCCAUUCUUGGAGAACUGUCUCUGCAAAGGAGUGGGAAUGGGAAAAGCAACUCCUUAAGUUUUGAAGUUGGAAAAACCAAAGUUUCCCUGGGAGGGAGUGGAUUGUUAAACUUGUGAUUGUUGCUGCGGGCCUAGAUUGUUUAAGGCCUUAUGGAAAAGGUAUGAGAAGUCCUCAGGUAUUAACAGCCUUUUAGAAUUGGCUGAAUACUCUAAAUUCUGGUCAUCAGACCAUUCACCCCCUUCCUUUGAGUCAGCAACUAAGUCAGGGUUGUCUGGGACCUCCACUAGGCUUUCAACAUUAUCAUUGGGUCCUGGGUUGGAUGGAGUGAGGUCAGGUCCCAUGAGGUGGAGGUUCUGGUAAAUCAUAGUCUGAAAUACCAGAGGAAUCGGAUGGGGAGCCCUGUUCCCUGUGGUGUUUCCUAGUUUUUUUUUACAGCUCUUUGACUUUAGAUUGUUUUUACAUCUAUGUCUUUUCUUUGACUUCUUAGGUGAAGGUUCUGAUGAGGAAGAUGAAGAGUCUCUGUUCUUAAACCCCUUUUUGUCAGACUUGAUGUGUUUGUGCUGUUGCAAAGACUUAUCAAGCACAUUUUGGAACCAUGCCUACCAGCUAGCCAGCAUUUUAACAGAAUCUGCUCACCUGUCCACCAUGCCACAACAUGUUGUACUCGCUCAGAUCAGCAUGAACCAAACUGCACUCUUUAUACAACUUUUGCAUCAUCUAGAAGAAAGCAGCAAGUGAUUAUUUGGAGCAUUUUUUAUUCAAUUAAAACAUUAAAAAUCAGCACUAGAUGAGAAGUUAAAUACAAAAAAGCUUAAUGCAGAACAUAUGAAAGCAUCUUUGUAGAUUUAUCACAUCCAAGUUUUAACAGAUACAGUGCUAGAAGUGUUCACUCAAGUUAACUUAUCUGAGUAGUCAGCUAGUACAACUGCAUAUGACUGAUAGGCAUGUUUAGGUAACUCCCUGGUUUUCCUGCUUCUACUGAAACUAGUUAGUGCAAUUUUUAUAUUACACUAAGAAAGCAGUCCUAAAAGUUUACAGCCUAUCUUCCAGAUAUUGUAGGACUAUAGGAAAUAACUUCAAGAAAAUUACUGGUUGCACAGAACCUCUGCCUUCAUGUAUAGUGACCACUUUUUCUGUUAUAUUUCACAUUCUAGCUACUUCUGCUAAAGUUUGUCUCCAGUAUAAGAAUUCCGAUUGUGACCACCACAAACUAUGAAAAUAAAGAAUGUAUUAUCAGUUA
Hemicordylus capensis (graceful crag lizard) is the source of this 2256-nucleotide long non-coding RNA. RefSeq lists it as uncharacterized. The record is from RefSeq and is a predicted model, not a curated record. The transcript has 5 exons. Lineage: Eukaryota; Metazoa; Chordata; Lepidosauria; Squamata; Cordylidae.